GACAAACGCUGGCGGCGUGCUUAACACAUGCAAGUCGAACGGAAAGGCCCCCACCUUGGUGGGGGUGCUCGAGUGGCGAACGGGUGAGUAACACGUGGGUGAUCUGCCCUGUACUUCGGGAUAAGCUUGGGAAACUGGGUCUAAUACCGGAUAGGACCAUGGUUUAGUGUCCCAUGGUGGAAAGAUUAUUGUUUUGGUGCAGGAUGAGCUCGCGGCCUAUCAGCUUGUUGGUGGGGUAAUGGCCUACCAAGGCGUCGACGGGUAGCCGGCCUGAGAGGGUGGACGGCCACAUUGGGACUGAGAUACGGCCCAGACUCCUACGGGAGGCAGCAGUGGGGAAUAUUGCACAAUGGGCGCAAGCCUGAUGCAGCGACGCCGCGUGGGGGAUGACGGCCUUCGGGUUGUAAACUCCUUUCGUUAGGGACGAAGCCACACUUUUUUUGGGUGUGGUGACGGUACCUUUGUUAAGAAGCACCGGCUAACUACGUGCCAGCAGCCGCGGUAAUACGUAGGGUGCGAGCGUUGUCCGGAAUUACUGGGCGUAAAGAGCUCGUAGGUGGUUUGUUGCGUCGUCUGUGAAAUUCCGGGGCUUAACUCCGGGGUGGCAGGCGAUACGGGCAUAACUAGAGUGCUGUAGGGGAGACUGGAAUUCCUGGUGUAGCGGUGGAAUGCGCAGAUAUCAGGAGGAACACCGAUGGCGAAGGCAGGUCUCUGGGCAGUAACUGACGCUGAGGAGCGAAAGCAUGGGGAGCGAACAGGAUUAGAUACCCUGGUAGUCCAUGCUGUAAACGGUGGGCGUUAGGUGUGGGGACCGGUUUGGUUUCUGUGCCGUAGCUAACGCAUUAAGCGCCCCGCCUGGGGAGUACGGCCGCAAGGCUAAAACUCAAAGGAAUUGACGGGGGCCCGCACAAGCGGCGGAGCAUGUGGAUUAAUUCGAUGCAACGCGAAGAACCUUACCUGGGUUUGACAUGCACCAGACGGUUGUAGAGAUACGUACCUCCCUUUGUGGUUGGUGUGCAGGUGGUGCAUGGUUGUCGUCAGCUCGUGUCGUGAGAUGUUGGGUUAAGUCCCGCAACGAGCGCAACCCUUGUCUUAUGUUGCCAGCACUUUGGGUGGGGACUCAUGAGAGACUGCCGGGGUUAACUCGGAGGAAGGUGGGGAUGACGUCAAAUCAUCAUGCCCUUUAUGCCCAGGGCUUCACACAUGCUACAAUGGUUAGUACAACGCGCGGCAAGCCUGUGAGGGUGAGCGAAUCGCUGAAAGCUAAUCUCAGUUCGGAUUGGGGUCUGCAACUCGACCCCAUGAAGUCGGAGUCGCUAGUAAUCGCAGAUCAGCAAUGCUGCGGUGAAUACGUUCCCGGGCCU
Molecule: ribosomal RNA, 1364 nt
Filed under: uncultured bacterium
Lineage: Bacteria
Description: bacterial SSU rRNA
Rfam family: Bacterial small subunit ribosomal RNA
Source: RNAcentral